This 4954-nucleotide long non-coding RNA is filed under the name Salmo salar (Atlantic salmon). RNAcentral describes it as "lncRNA (ENSSSAG00000086262.1, ENSSSAG00020043170.1)". The record is from RNAcentral. Lineage: Eukaryota; Metazoa; Chordata; Actinopteri; Salmoniformes; Salmonidae.
CUUUCAAAGGGUGUAAAAUAGUUGUAUGUUUGAAAAAUUUGAAUUUUGACAUUUAUUUGGAUUCAAAUUUGCCGCUCUUGAAAUGCACCUGCUGUUGAUGGAGUGCACCACGGGGGGGACGCCUGCGUCCCACCUAGCCCAUAGAGGUUAAUGUUAAUUGAAUAAAUGUUAUUACACAUUUUACUCUGUGAAACAGCAUCACCAAGCCAGCACUCACUCAGCCGUGGUCCAGAGAAGAGUGGGAUGUUAACAAACCUCAGGGAUUUUGAGAGACCCAUAAGCAUAAACACACAAACACAUACAAGGGGUGCGUCAACUAGGUUUGGCCUCAGGCCCAAUUGUUUCUGAGCUAAUAGCCAGCGGGCCAGAACAUAAUUAGCAAAUAAUACUAGCACAAUUAAUAGGCCUACACUACAAAUUGAACAACAUUUUUAACACAUCUGAUUAGUACCACUGGUCAUCACAGUGAGCCAGUCUCCCAGCCUACCCAGCCAUCUGCCCAGGUCAGCGAUGCCCUACUGUCCCUUCCAGAGAAGUAUGACGGUACUUCAUCGAAAUGCUGUGGCUUCGUACUCCAGUGCUCCCUCUAUUUCGCCCAUCAGACGGGAGCCCCCACCACCGAGAGGUCCAAGGUUGCCACUGUCAUUUCCCUGCUAACUGGGCGGGCAUUGGAGUGGGCUACGGCUGUCUGGGAGAGAGGAGAGGAGGAGGUGGGUUCCUAUAAGAGGUUCAUGGCUCUGUUCAGAGCGGUCUUCAACCAUCCUCCAGAGGCCAGCGAGGGAGGUGGGCGACUUCUCCAACUCCAGCAGGGUGCCCAGACUGCUGCGAAGUACGCCCUCACCUUUUGUACUGUGGCAGCCUCCAGCGGAUGGAAUGAGCCUGCGAUCCGCACUCUCUUCCAGAGCGAAAUGGCGUGUCGGGACAGAGGUGGCAUGUCGUGAUGACAACCUAUCCACUCAUCGCGAUGGUCAUCCGUCUGGAUAUCCUUCUUCGGGAGCCACGGUGCCCACCUCGCCACUCGCCUCCCUCCUUUGGCUGUCCUGAGGCAGAGCCUGAACCCGUGGAGAUAGGAGCCACAUACCUCUCCCAGGCAGAGCGGCGUCGCCGGAGACUGCUGGGGCUCUAUCCCUAUUUCGGCCACUAGUGGCACCAGCUUAAGUGGUGUCCGGUGCGUCCCAACCCAGAGUCCACUAGGGCAGAGGGGCGGCCGCGUGAUCUUCCGUGUCCCAGGGCGGGCAUGAGUAUUCAUCAUCGUGUUCCGCCAAACCCUUUUUUUGGUUCCCAUUUCACUGGCUGGCUGUCCCUCAGGUGUUGUCUCUACAGCUCUAGUGGACGCCGGUGCCGCGGGAAUUUCAUCAACCAGGCCCUCGCCUCCUCCCUGAACAUAACUUCGUAACUCUCCUUUCCUUUUCCGGUGCAAGCCCUGGAUAAGCGACCAUUGGGAUCCGGUACAAUCACGCACAUUACAGCACCACUCACCCUCACUGUGGUACCUAUGCACCAGGAAAGCCUUCCCUUCCUCAUCAUCACUGCACCCGUGCACAAAGUCAUCCUCGGCCUCCCUUGGCUCCAACGUCAUAACCCUACCAUCUCCUGGUCGAGGAUUAAAACCACCUCCUGGUGUCCAUGAUGCCGGAAGACCUGCUUUCCCGUACCUUGUGGUUCCAUGCCGGUUGAGAGUCCUGUAAGUGCCCUCCAGCCCAUCCAUCAGUCCUCCUGUAUCGUUGGCCCUGUGUUUUGGGAUGUAGAUGUGGACAUCCACCAGGUUCUGGAGAGGGAAACCGCUCCUGCUACCUGCCCUCCAGAAUGCAUCGAUGUUCCAAGAGGGGUAAGAGAUCUGCUGAGAACCUGGACACACACAUCCCUCACCACUGGACACCCAGAUAUCACCCGCACUAUCCAAUCCCUCUCCAAUAAAUACUGGUGGCCCACCUUGGCGCAGGAGAUCACCCGCUAUGUCAACUCCUGCUCCAUAUGUGCCCAAACCAAAUCUCCCUGGCACGCUCCAGCAGGGAAACUACGUCCACUUCCCAUGCCUCAGUGGCCUUAGUCCCAUCUGUCUGUAGACUUCGUUACCGGUCUCCCACAGUCUGAUGGUUUCACCACUGUUAUGGUUGUUGUGGACAGAUUCUCCAAAUCCUGACGUUUUAUCCCUCUCUCUGGUCUCCCUACCUCUCUCCAGGUCGCUGAUGCACUGUUCCAGCAGGUCUUCCGGCACUAUGGCCUUCCGGAGGACAUCGUCUCUGACUGUGUCCUCAGUCCAACGUGGAGAUGGAGAGGACCAACCAGGAGCUGGGGAGGUUCCUGAGUCACAGCCAGGACCGACAGGGGAGUGGGCCCGGUUCCUUCCCUGGAUGGAGUACGCCCAGAACUCACUUCGUUACUCCUCCACCAGGCUGACUCCCUUCCAGUGCAUCUUGGGAUAUCAACCGACCCUGGCUCCAUGGAGUCUGAGCCAGACCGAGGCCCCUGCAGUGGACAAGUGGUUCCAUUUGCCAUCAGAAGGAUCAGGCAGGCUGCCACCGCAGUGAGGCUCCCGUGUUCCAUCCUGGUGAUCGCGUCUGGCUCUCCACCAGGAACCUCCCGCCCUGCCUGCCCUCUGCCGGAAGCUGAGCCCCCGGUUUAUGGGUCCCUUCAAAGUCUUCUGGAGGGUCAAUGAUGUAAUUUACUGUUUACAACUCCCGACCAACUACCCGAUCUCACCCUAUUUUCGUGUUUCCCUCCUCAGGCCGGUGUUUCCUGGUCCUCUGGCUGAUGCCAUCCCCCGCGACACCCCUCCGCCUCCCCUGGACAUCGAUGGGAUCCUUGGCUAUGCUGUCAGGUCUCUACUGGACUCCUGAUGUCAUGGGGAUCAGCUUCAGUACCUGGUGGACUGGGAGGGGUACAGCCCAGAUUUGGACUUGUCAUUUGGAAGGCUACUGCACUUCAGCCCAAUGAAGAAACGACAGGCAGAAGACCAGGCCACAGCAUUGUCACAGAGGUGAUGGAAGAUAUCAUCAAGCAGCUGAGGGACAACUUCUCCACCAGAUUUGAAGACUACAGUAUGCCCAAGGACAUCAUUGUCUUUGUACGUGAUCUCUCACAGUCUGCCCAGGUGGAGAAUUCUCCUCCCUUGCUAAGAAAACGAUACCCUCCCUGGAUAAGGCCGCAAUUCAAACUGAGCUGAUUGAAUUCCAGACAUUGAGCAAAAUCAGGGAUGCGCUCAGGAGUGCUGAGUCCUUGUGUGCGUUUUGGGUGGCAUGCUCAGAGGAAUACAGCACAAUAAAGAAACUUGCAUUUUAUGUGCUAACAAUGUUUGGAUCGACUUGUGAUACUUACGAUACUGCGAGUCCUCCUUUUCCUCUAUGAACGCAAUCAAAAUUAAUCCAUGCUUUUGUUACUUCUAGGCUGGACUACUGCAAUGCUCUACUUUCCGGCUACCCGGAUAAAGCACUAAAUAAACUUCAGUUAGUGCUAAAUACGGCUGCUAGAAUCCUGACUAGAACCAAAAAAUUUGAUCAUAUUACUCAAGUGCUAGCCUCCCUAAACUGGCUUCCUGUUAAGGCAAGGGCUGAUUUCAAGGUUUUACUGCUAACCUACAAAGCAUUACAUGGGCUUGCUCCUACCUAUCUUUCCGAUUUGGUCCUGCCGUACAUACCUACACGUACGCUACGGUCACAAGACGCAGGCCUCCUAAUUGUCCCUAGAAUUUCUAAGCAAACGGCUGGAGGUAGGGCUUUCUCCUAUAGAGCUCCAUUUUUAUGGAAUGGUCUGCCUACCCAUGUGAGAGAUGCAGACUCAGUCUCAACCUUUAAGUCUUUACUGAAGACUUAUCUCUUCAGUAGGUCCUAUGAUUAAGUAUAGUCUGGCCCAGGAGUGUGGAGGUGAACGGAAAGGCUGGAGCAACGAACCGCCCUUGCUGUCUCUGCCUUUCCGGUUCCCCUCUCUCCACUGGGAUUCUCUGCCUCUAACCCUAUUACAGGGGCUGAGUCACUGGCGUACUGGUGUUCUUCCAUGCCGUCCAUGGGAGGGGUGCGUCACUUGAGUGGGCUGAGUCACUGACGUGGUCUUCCUGUCUGGGUUGGCGCCCCCCUUGGGUUGUGCCGUGGCGGAGAUCUUUGUGGGCUAUACUCGGCCUUGUCUUAGGACGGUAAGUUGGUGGUUGGAGACAUCCCUCUAGUGGUGUGGGGGCUGUGCUUUGGCAAAGUGGGUGGGGUUAUAUCCUGCCUGUUUGGCCCUGUCCGGGGAUAUCAUCGGAUGGGUCCACAGUGUCUCCUGAUCCCUCCUGUCUCAGCCUCCAGUAUUUAUGCUGCAGUAGUUUAUGUGUCGGGGGGCUAGGGUCAGUCUGUUACAUCUGGAGUAUUUCUCUUGUCUUAUCCGGUGUCCUGUGUGAAUUUAAAUAUGCUCUCUCUAAUUCUCUCUUUCUUUCUCUCUUUCUUUCUUUCUCUCGGAGGACCUGAGCCCUAGGACCAUGCCUCAGGACUACCUGGCAUGAUGACUCCUUGCUGUCCCCAGUCCACCUGGCCGUGCUGCUGCUCCAGUUUCAACUCUUCUGCCUGCGGCUAUGGAACCCUGACCUGUUCACCACUCAUGACAGGAACUGGCUUUCACAUAACUCAAUUGAGGACUGUCUGCACAUCAAAAUCACAUCCUUCUCACCCGACAUCCACAAGAUCGUGAACAAAGGGAAGUGCAACUUUUCCCAUUAAGAGCAGGCUAUUCCGAGACUACCGAUACAGACAUUCAGACACAGACGUUACCUUUUUUUCUUUAAAUCAUUGUUCAUGUCGGUUGUUACAUUUUUGACCAGUUGCAAUUGUGAGUAGGCCUAAUAAAAGAAAUCCCACUUCUAUUAGACCAUAUUUUCUUUCUUGUGAAAGAUACUGCUAAGACACAUAGCCUAUCUCAGCCAGUUAAGUUAUUUUAUAUAGCCCUAGGCUCGUAAAAAAUAUACUCCAAUUAAGCCCUCUUUUUG